ACUUUUAAAGGAUAAUAGUAAUCCA
RNAcentral lists this transfer RNA (25 nucleotides) under Schistometopum gregorii. RNAcentral describes it as "partial tRNA-Leu". RNAcentral also lists the same sequence under 1 other name. Lineage: Eukaryota; Metazoa; Chordata; Amphibia; Gymnophiona; Dermophiidae. The record is from RNAcentral.